RNAcentral lists this ribosomal RNA (910 nucleotides) under Penicillium sumatraense. RNAcentral's name for it is "LSU rRNA". It matches the Rfam family "Eukaryotic large subunit ribosomal RNA", at positions 35 to 964 of the family's 3401-position model. The record is from RNAcentral. Lineage: Eukaryota; Fungi; Ascomycota; Eurotiomycetes; Eurotiales; Aspergillaceae.
AUAGCAUAUCAAUAAGCGGAGGAAAAGAAACCACCGGGAUUGCCCUAGUAACGGCGAGUGAAGCGGCAAGAGCUCAAAUUUGAAAGCUGGCUCCUUCGGGGUCCGCAUUGUAAUUUGCAGAGGAUGCUUCGGGAGCGGUCCCCAUCUAAGUGCCCUGGAACGGGCCGUCAUAGAGGGUGAGAAUCCCGUCUGGGAUGGGGUGCCCGCGCCCGUGUGAAGCUCCUUCGACGAGUCGAGUUGUUUGGGAAUGCAGCUCUAAUUGGGUGGUAAAUUUCAUCUAAAGCUAAAUAUUGGCCGGAGACCGAUAGCGCACAAGUAGAGUGAUCGAAAGAUGAAAAGCACUUUGAAAAGAGAGUUAAACAGCACGUGAAAUUGUUGAAAGGGAAGCGCUUGCGAUCAGACUCGCCCGCGGGGUUCAGCCGGCAUUCGUGCCGGUGUACUUCCCCGUGGGCGGGCCAGCGUCGGUUUGGGCGGCCGGUCAAAGGCCCCUGGAAUGUAACGCCUCUCGGGGCGUCUUAUAGCCAGGGGUGCCAUGCGGCCUGCCCGGACCGAGGAACGCGCUUCGGCUCGGACGCUGGCAUAAUGGUCGUAAGCGACCCGUCUUGAAACACGGACCAAGGAGUCUAACAUCUACGCGAGUGUUCGGGUGUCAAACCCGUGCGCGCAGUGAAAGCGAACGGAGGUGGGAACCCCCCGGGGUGCACCAUCGACCGAUCCUGAUGUCUUCGGAUGGAUUUGAGUAAGAGCGUAGCUGUUGGGACCCGAAAGAUGGUGAACUAUGCCUGAAUAGGGCGAAGCCAGAGGAAACUCUGGUGGAGGCUCGCAGCGGUUCUGACGUGCAAAUCGAUCGUCAAAUUUGGGUAUAGGGGCGAAAGACUAAUCGAACCAUCUAGUAGCUGGUUCCUGCCGA